Long non-coding RNA from Etheostoma spectabile (orangethroat darter), 2131 nucleotides. RefSeq lists it as uncharacterized. Lineage: Eukaryota; Metazoa; Chordata; Actinopteri; Perciformes; Percidae. The transcript has 3 exons. The record is from RefSeq and is a predicted model, not a curated record.
UUCUGCUUUAUUUCACAAUUUCUUUUCCCAGAUCAAGAUGUGGUCUGUAAUAUGAAAACUCGGAAGGCCUUGGAAGGAAUAUCGUACUGGGACUGCUGCUGAAGGCCAGAUGCUUGAGCCAUGAAUCAUUGUGACAAAACAGGGGUGCUCUCUGUGGUCAGAAACACUGGAUCUGUGUGUCAGACUGAUGAGGAGACACUGCACACGGCAAAGAGGCUGAGCCACAGUCUUGGAAUCCAGUCCUGUCCGUCCCGUCCUUUCUUGUGGACAGGAAGUGCUUCCAUCUCCUGGGCCACAAGCAUAGAAAUAGAAUUGGCCACAACACACUGAGUAAUCUUUAAUCUUAAGUAAGAAAAAGCAUAUGAACAAUCCAUCGCAAUUUUUAAAGUUGGUGUAAUUUGAAUUGGGAUGUCAUAUUUCUUAAUUAUAUAAAAGAACUGAAAUAUGCUAUAUAUAUAUGCUAUAUCCUAUUUGCAUUUGGUGUGAGCACAGCAUAAGACCGGCAUAGCACAUGAAUCAGCUAAUAUCCGGAUAAUUGUUGAACAGUGUCACAUCAGCAUGAGAUCAGGCCAUAAACCUCCGGUUCCAUAUGUGAUUUCGUUAAACCCACGGUUUGAUCUAUCACUGGUCUAGGAAUGUCUGUUUCUCAGUCUGUCGGCUUUUAUUGUUGUCCUUUUCCUUUCUUCUUAAUAAACAUGUAAUUUGCACUGUGAUUGAUAGUUUUUCAUGGCUGCUAUUUCAUUCCCCAUUUCCUUGUUGCUGUGUCCAAUGGCUAAACCAGCCAGCCCUCUCAGCCCUGGGGUCCCCAUAAAAGUGACGGGCUAACCGUAAAGUCCCUAUUCCACCAAGCAAGUUCCUCUCUGCAUCUCCUCCUGUAAUUCCCAUUACUGCCCUGGACUCCAGGAGCUCACAUCCCAAAAACAUGUUCACUCCUUUUCCUCUCAUCCUCCCCCACCUACUCAUUUUCCCCCUUUCUUCAACACAUGAAAACUUUAUUGCGCAUCAUUCAAAACAAUUACAAUAACGUUUGUGACUAAGAUAUAAGAGGGGCAUACUGGAGUCUAGACUAUGGAAGUGAUGUAACAGACAUAUCUGUAGUCUGUGGUCCGUAAGCUGCAUACUUUUAUGCUUGACUACACUGAAGGGGAAUGGCGACUACUAUUUUUAAUGUGUUGCAAAUCUCCUCAUAUCUUCAAAUCGCUUCAUUCCCAUUUGAUCCACAUUGUUUUAAACUAAUAUCCAGCUUUCCUUUCCUUCUCAUUGGUUACAAAAAUACAGCAAUCAGUAUCUCGUAAGUGUGUUUUCCUUGAUUUUUGCCAAACUGAAGCAAAACGGUUUGGAGAGCCCACAUGCUAUGAACCCACAUUAUGAAUAGCAUUUGAUUUAUGUUACACAUACAUUUUCCUAAUAAAGAAAUUGUUAAAGUGGCUCCUUGCUUAAAAGGAAAAAGACGGCCCCGAAAUAUUCUGUUACUAUAAUGCUGGUUUCAUCUCAUCUCACAUCUCAUUUUGCCUCCAACGAGAAUCCUAAUUACUUCUUCAUUCCUCUGGUAGCUAAGGAGUCCCAUUUCACUUUAAGUUCCACAAACCACACUUUCAAACAAAUCCAUUUUUUAUAUUGUCUUAUGACGUGAUAACAUCAGAAUAAUGUUACCUCUGGGGCUUUGUGACAGACAUAGAGGCUCCUCUGAGAAAGCCACAGCUUUGAACAUGAAAUGCCAAUAGAGAUCUUCAAGGCUGUGAAUGUAACCACAAAGGCAUCAGUAGAUAAAUUAUGACCAUCACAGUUCACUACAUUGGACUGAAAACUACUCACGCUUGCAACAAUUGACUCAAAGACAAGUUAACAUGUGGUCACAGGCAUGUGUCUUUUUUAUGUGAGGUAAAAAUAGAAAAUGGGAAUUCAUAGUAGAUAGUGAGUUUGCGAAUCAAAGAGUCUACUGUGAAAGGCAUUACUUGCCUACAGCAACAUCAGUCUUGACUUGAAAAAUGAAUCAGUGUUUGUGUCAUGGCUGCACAUUCUUAAAAUGUAUGUCUACAUCCCAGCUCAAAUAUGUCGCAUUGCAUAUUGUGUAUGUCACACAUUCUGUAUCUAGGCUACUUAAUAAAAAAAUGUCUAAAGAAGUUAGACC